Molecule: long non-coding RNA, 1306 nt
Filed under: Anser cygnoides (Swan goose)
Lineage: Eukaryota; Metazoa; Chordata; Aves; Anseriformes; Anatidae
Description: lncRNA (ENSACDG00005000127.1)
Source: RNAcentral
CGGCAGCAUCCCGGGGGCUCCGCGUGCAGGGGCGCCAAAGGGGCCCCCCCGGGACCGCGCCCCCCCCGGCGCCCCCCGCUCCUCGGGGCGCGGCAGCCCCCGGCGCUUCCCCGGCCCCCGGCGGUGCCGCGGCUUCGGGGGGCGGCAGGGGCCGAGGCCGGGGAGAGGGAGGUUCCCUGCUCCAAAAGGGACCGAGGGGAGCGACUGUGCGGUGGCUGCCCCGGAGAGCCUCCAACCGGCGGCUGAAUUUCUUGGUAUUUCCACUUCCAGAGCUCGAAGGGCACGAUGCAGUAGGUGCAAGAUAUUUCCUUUCUUUCUGAUUUGCAUUCCCUGUGGGAUCUCCGCUGGAAAAAAAGUUCCAAUACCCAAGGAUUCAUCAGAUGGAGCAUUUGCGAGUGUGGGCCGAUACUCAUGUUGGCAAUGGUGCUAAUACAUGCUGCUCCCAGCACUGGCAUGCUAGGACAGCGAGCAUUUCUGGGCCAGUUUGUGAAUGCACAGCUAGGAGCACAAAGGUGCUGGCAAAGAUGUUCCUUGUUUGAAUAAGCUAACAAGCCUACACAAUUCCUUCCCAGUCCUUUUCACAUCAGGAUUGAGCAGCAGACAGCAGGCAAAGCAGAGUGGUAGCCGUCUGUGCUGGGGGCUCCUGGGGCUGCCCCAGGCUCGGGGCAGCAGCCUCGCACUGGGGCCUUGCUUGAGAGCUGCUCCCACAAGCCCUGCAUGUGUGCAGCAGCAGUGUGUGUGUCCUUGCACACCAGCCUGCACUCUGGGUCCUGCUCUCCAUCUACUGUGUUCCAGUUUCCCAGACCUGCUGUUGUUUUGGUGCAUUUCUGCCACCGUUUUUAUUAAGAAAGCACAUUUCUGUACCUUGUGAGUGCCAGUGGGAAGAGCUAGGAAUGUUGCAGGUAUCCGGCACAUAAUGUAAAAGGAAGGCAUUUUUCAGGAAAUUAAGAGUUCUGGUGAGCAGAUUAAUAGGUGUUAAUGAGAAGGACCUCAUUGUUGGCAUUGAUUUAGCCAUGUUUACCUGGUUCAGAAAUUUGUUUCUGGUGAGACAAAGCAAGGUGUGCACAAAGGGAGUAUGCAGCAGUCUCCGUUGUGAAAUUGCACUCCCUCCCCAGAGCCCUUUUGCCGGGCUGUUAUCACAUGUGCUGUAUUAUUGGAUUUCUCCAAAGUCUCCCUUUAUCCUUAUUAAUGCUGUGAAUGUUGUAGCAAGGAGUGAUAUGAUCUAACAUUGGAUAAAAUCACAAUUUGUCCUUCUUCUUGGUGUAAAUGUAACAGGGCUUAACUGUACAAACAAAUAAGCCUAAAU